AGUGAACGCUGGCGGUAGGCCUAACACAUGCAAGUCGAACGGCAGCACAGUAAGAGCUUGCUCUUACGGGUGGCGAGUGGCGGACGGGUGAGGAAUACAUCGGAAUCUACUUUUUCGUGGGGGAUAACGUAGGGAAACUUACGCUAAUACCGCAUACGACCUACGGGUGAAAGCAGGGGAUCUUCGGACCUUGCGCGAUUGAAUGAGCCGAUGUCGGAUUAGCUAGUUGUCGGGGUAAAGGCCCACCAAGGCGACGAUCCGUAGCUGGUCUGAGAGGAUGAUCAGCGACACUGGAACUGAGACACGGUCCAGACUACUACGGGAGGCAGCAGUGGGGAAUAUUGGACAAUGGGCGCAAGCCUGAUCCAGCCAUACCGCGUGGGUGAAGAAGGCCUUCGGGUUGUAAAGCCCUUUUGUUGGGAAAGAAAAGCAGCAGGUUAAUACCCCGCUGUUCUGACGGUACCCAAAGAAUAAGCACCGGCUAACUUCGUG
RNAcentral lists this ribosomal RNA (492 nucleotides) under uncultured bacterium. Its description in RNAcentral is "partial 16S ribosomal RNA". It matches the Rfam family "Bacterial small subunit ribosomal RNA", at positions 29 to 507 of the family's 1533-position model. The record is from RNAcentral.